RNAcentral lists this unclassified non-coding RNA (500 nucleotides) under uncultured Glomus. RNAcentral describes it as "SSU rRNA". It matches the Rfam family "Eukaryotic small subunit ribosomal RNA", at positions 591 to 1092 of the family's 1831-position model. The record is from RNAcentral. Lineage: Eukaryota; Fungi; Glomeromycota; Glomeromycetes; Glomerales; Glomeraceae.
CCAAUAGCGUAUAUUAAAGUUGUUGCAGUUAAAAAGCUCGUAGUUGAAUUUCGGGGUUUGUAAGUUGGUUGUGCCACUGGUAUGUACUGGCUUUACUGAUUCCUCCUUCUUGUAGAACCGUAAUGCCAUUAAGUUGGUGUUGCGGGGAAACAGGACUGUUACUUUGAAAAAAUUAGAGUGUUUAAAGCAAGCUAACGCUUGAAUACAUUAGCAUGGAAUAAUGAAAUAGGACGUUCGAUCCUAUUUUGUUGGUUUCUAGGAUUGACGUAAUGAUUAAUAGGGAUAGUUGGGGGCAUUAGUAUUCAAUUGUCAGAGGUGAAAUUCUUGGAUUUAUUGAAUACUAACUACUGCGAAAGCAUUUGCCAAGGAUGUUUUCAUUAAUCAAGAACGAAAGUUAGGGGAUCGAAGACGAUCAGAUACCGUCGUAGUCUUAACCAUAAACUAUGCCGACUAGGGAUCGGAUGAUGUUAAUUUUAUAAUGACUCAUUCGGCGCCUUACG